AGCUAGUGUAGUGCAGUGGUCUGCAUGUUGAACUAUGACUCUGAAGAAGAGGGUUUGAAUCCCCACUUGGCUA
This is a non-coding RNA of Phrynosoma platyrhinos (Desert horned lizard), 73 nucleotides long. Lineage: Eukaryota; Metazoa; Chordata; Lepidosauria; Squamata; Phrynosomatidae. The record is from the annotation of a GenBank genome assembly.